GGACGGAGGUGCAAGCGUUAUCCGGAAUGAUUGGGCGUAAAGCGUCCGCAGGUGGCACUUCAAGUCUGCUGUCAAAGACCGGGGCUUAACCCCAGAAAGGCAGUGGAAACUGAAGUGCUAGAGUGCAGUAGGGGUAGAGGGAAUUCCCGGUGUAGCGGUGAAAUGCGGUAGAGAUCGGGAAGAACAUCGGUGGCGAAAGCGCUCUGACCGUGGACUGCAACUGACACUCGAGGGACGAAAGCUAGGGGAGCGAAUGGG
This 258-nucleotide ribosomal RNA is filed under the name uncultured bacterium. Its description in RNAcentral is "partial 16S ribosomal RNA". It matches the Rfam family "Bacterial small subunit ribosomal RNA", at positions 523 to 776 of the family's 1533-position model. The record is from RNAcentral.